RNAcentral lists this long non-coding RNA (975 nucleotides) under Anas platyrhynchos platyrhynchos (common mallard). Its description in RNAcentral is "lncRNA (ENSAPLG00000030681.1)". The record is from RNAcentral. Lineage: Eukaryota; Metazoa; Chordata; Aves; Anseriformes; Anatidae.
AUACUGCAACAAUGAAUGCGGUCAUGUUUGGGAGCUCCUCGGCUACUGCGGUGUUGCAAGCUAUAUGAGUUUCAAGCAUGUAAAUCGGAGGGGAGCAGAAGAACCACUUUGUUCCCCAGCCCUGCCCCCGGGUAUAUAAAUAGCCGCCUGGGUGGCUGCUGGAGUGCCUCUCAUUCCAGAGAUCUUUGGCCACCCUCUUAUCAAAACAGAAAGACUGACUUCACUCCCGUUCUCUGCCGACUGAUUUCAUGCUGGAAACAGGGGGGAAAAAAUGCAAGCUCUGUCUGAAACACGGCGGCAGUAGGAAGAACAGGCAGGCCAUGGUUCUGACUGCUGCUGAGCAAAUCUAUGCUUGAAGAGCAGAUUGAAAUUAUUGCAGUUAUGGUGCUGCUGCUGCUAAUGAGAUGCCUGUCUCUUUCCCAACCACUUUCAUUUGUAAUCACUUUUAAUGAAUGGGAAACAGAGAAGGGAGGGAACCUCAAGCCUCCCUCAGCUGUGAGACACAGCUGAGCCUGCAGUGUUAUCGCUGCUGCAUCUUCACCCUGCUUCUACCGACUGCAAGGCAUCAGCCAGCAGGUCAGUAAAGCACUGCAGCAUGCUGCUUGGCCUGCCUCUGACCAAACGAGGCUGUGGGUUGUCAGUCUGAAAGUCUUUGUGAUAAAUAACUGUUCUGCUGGCAGGCAAGCCCAUGGCGAAACUCUUUUCAUAAUCUGAUCAAGCUUCAUCUUAAAACCAGUUUGAUUCCUCGCACCCACUCCUACAGAAACCUCCCUUUCCUCCUUAUUGAUUCAUAAGUGAAUUUAUUCGUGGUCACUUUAUACCCAUGUGUUCUCGUGCCAGCAUUGUCUUUUGGUUAAGCACUUCUCCUGCCUCACUGCUGUUCUCAGCUUUGAUGUACUUUGGGAGGCGCUUAGAUCCCUGUUAUAUUACUCUGUUGAAAAUAAAGCGAAGUUUUGCCCUUUUUGGAGAAAUUUC